This 72-nucleotide transfer RNA is filed under the name Acidobacteriota bacterium. Its description in RNAcentral is "Acidobacteria bacterium tRNA-Gln". The record is from RNAcentral. Lineage: Bacteria; Pseudomonadati; Acidobacteriota.
GCGCCCGUAGCUCAGUCGGAUAGAGCGUCUGCCUUUGAAGUAGGCAGCGUAAAUCACAUAAGUGGCGCACCU